CCUGGUGGCUCAGAUGGUAAAGAAUCUGCCUGUAAUGCAGGAGACCUGGGUUCAAUUCCUGCAUCAGGA
Molecule: transfer RNA, 69 nt
Filed under: Bos taurus (domestic cattle)
Lineage: Eukaryota; Metazoa; Chordata; Mammalia; Artiodactyla; Bovidae
Also listed under: 2 other names
Rfam family: tRNA
About the family: Transfer RNA (tRNA) molecules are approximately 80 nucleotides in length.
Source: Rfam by way of RNAcentral